AUUGAACGCUGGCGGCAUGCUUUACACAUGCAAGUCGAACGGCAGCGGGGUAGUGCUUGCACUACUGCCGGCGAGUGGCGGACGGGUGAGUAAUAUAUCGGAACGUACCGAGUAAUGGGGGAUAACCAAUCGAAAGAUUGGCUAAUACCGCAUACGUCCUGAGGGAGAAAGCGGGGGAUCGCAAAAACUCGCGUUAUUCGAGCGGCCGAUAACUGAUUAGCUAGUUGGUGGGGUAAAGGCCUACCAAGGCGACGAUCAGUAGCGGGUCUGAGAGGACGAUCCGCCACACUGGGACUGAGACACGGCCCAGACUCCUACGGGAGGCAGCAGUGGGGAAUUUUGGACAAUGGGGGCAACCCUGAUCCAGCCAUGCCGCGUGUAUGAAGAAGGCCUUCGGGUUGUAAAGUACUUUUGUUAGGGAAGAAAAGGGAAGUGCUAAUACCACUUUUUGCUGACGGUACCUAAAGAAUAAGCACCGGCUAACUACGUG
RNAcentral lists this ribosomal RNA (490 nucleotides) under uncultured bacterium. RNAcentral's name for it is "partial 16S ribosomal RNA". It matches the Rfam family "Bacterial small subunit ribosomal RNA", at positions 30 to 507 of the family's 1533-position model. The record is from RNAcentral.